AACGAACGCUGGCGGCAGGCCUAACACAUGCAAGUCGAGCGAGAUCUUCGGGUCUAGCGGCGGACGGGUGAGUAACGCGUGGGAAUAUGCCUCUUGGUACGGAAUAGCCUCGGGAAACUGGGAGUAAUACCGUAUGUGCCCUUUGGGGGAAAGAUUUAUCGCCAAGAGAUUAGCCCGCGUUGGAUUAGGUAGUUGGUGGGGUAAUGGCCUACCAAGCCGACGAUCCAUAGCUGGUUUGAGAGGAUGAUCAGCCAUACUGGGACUGAGACACGGCCCAGACUCCUACGGGAGGCAGCAGUGGGGAAUCUUAGACAAUGGGGGCAACCCUGAUCUAGCCAUGCCGCGUGAGUGAUGAAGGCCUUAGGGUUGUAAAGCUCUUUUACCAGGGAUGAUAAUGACAGUACCUGGAGAAUAAGCUCCGGCUAACUCUGUGCCAGCAGCCGCGGUAAUACAGAGGGUGCGAGCGUUAAUCGGAUUUACUGGGCGUAAAGCGUGCGUAGGCGGCUUUUUAAGUCGGAUGUGAAAUCCCUGAGCUUAACUUAGGAAUUGCAUUCGAUACUGGGAAGCUAGAGUAUGGGAGAGGAUGGUAGAAUUCCAGGUGUAGCGGUGAAAUGCGUAGAGAUCUGGAGGAAUACCGAUGGCGAAGGCAGCCAUCUGGCCUAAUACUGACGCUGAGGUACGAAAGCAUGGGGAGCAAACAGG
RNAcentral lists this ribosomal RNA (702 nucleotides) under uncultured Porphyromonas sp. Its description in RNAcentral is "bacterial SSU rRNA". It matches the Rfam family "Bacterial small subunit ribosomal RNA", at positions 28 to 776 of the family's 1533-position model. Lineage: Bacteria; Pseudomonadati; Bacteroidota; Bacteroidia; Bacteroidales; Porphyromonadaceae. The record is from RNAcentral.